AUACAGGGUCAGUUCCAGUACCAUAUUAUAAUGUACAGGGAUACUGGAUCUAUAGAGGUAGAUAUGUAUAGGGGUAAACAUACUAUAUACAGGGUCAGUACCAUAUUAUAAUGUACAGGGAUACUGGAUCUAUAGAGGUAGAUAUGUAUAGGGGUAAACAUACUAUAUACAGGGUCAGUACCAUAUUAUAAUGUACAGGGAUACUGGAUCUAUAGAGGUAGAUAUGUAUAGGGGUAAACAUACUAUAUACAGGGUCAGUACCAUAUUAUAAUGUACAGGGAUACUGGAUCUAUAGAGGUAGAUAUGUAUAGGGGUAAACAUACUAUAUACAGGGUCAGUACCAUAUUAUAAUGUACAGGGAUACUGGAUCUAUAGAGGUAGAUAUGUAUAGGGGUAAACAUACUAUAUACAGGGUCAGUACCAUAUUAUAAUGUACAGGGAUACUGGAUCUAUAGAG
This 457-nucleotide long non-coding RNA is filed under the name Salmo salar (Atlantic salmon). Its description in RNAcentral is "lncRNA (ENSSSAG00000088128.1, ENSSSAG00000094033.1)". The record is from RNAcentral. Lineage: Eukaryota; Metazoa; Chordata; Actinopteri; Salmoniformes; Salmonidae.